RNAcentral lists this long non-coding RNA (289 nucleotides) under Calidris pugnax (ruff). RNAcentral's name for it is "lncRNA (ENSCPUG00000018895.1)". The record is from RNAcentral. Lineage: Eukaryota; Metazoa; Chordata; Aves; Charadriiformes; Scolopacidae.
UUCAGGGCUGUCAGACUCCACUGAAAAGCAUCCAGACCUUCAUCCACAGGAAGGUCGGUGGGACCAACUCUCUAUCACUCUGCACCUUGCCUAGGACUCCAUUCUGAUGCCAGGUGACCUUGUGUGUUAUCCAACAACUCUUCUACUGGCUCAAGGAUGUGCUCCAGAGAUUGGCCCAGAAGAAGAAGAAUGCUUGCUGGACCGAAUAUGUCCCUCUUUCUCUCAAAACAUGAGCAUCAGACCAUUUAUUGUAGGACAGAGAGCUCCUUGCAGCAGAACGAGAGGAUAA